GGCUCCGUGGUCUAGUGGUAUGAUUCGUGCUUCGGGUGACAUCUUUCUCCAGAUUAACCAUUACCUGUCCCAACGGGUAACAGAGCAUGUGCGAGGUCUCGGGUUCGAAUCCCGACGGAGCCC
This is a non-coding RNA of Cercophora scortea, 123 nucleotides long. Lineage: Eukaryota; Fungi; Ascomycota; Sordariomycetes; Sordariales; Lasiosphaeriaceae. The record is from the annotation of a GenBank genome assembly.